Molecule: non-coding RNA, 317 nt
Organism: Lolium perenne
Lineage: Eukaryota; Viridiplantae; Streptophyta; Magnoliopsida; Poales; Poaceae
Source: RefSeq, a predicted model, not a curated record
AGUAGCGUUAGGCACCAUAUAGAGUAUACCAAGCAGUUAUUCAGCAGUAGCAUAUCCGCAACACUUAAGGUAGUCAUAUGACCAUAGGUAGGGGAGGGAUAAAACUAGCUCACCAGGGUGCCACGACGAGGCAACGGCGUUGAGGUUAAUGUAGCAGAAUGGUAGCAUCAACAUCAGCAACAGCCGACAGGAGAUGACGCCAGGGUUGCAUUGCAGCACUGUUCCGCUGGCGUUGGCGAGGAGUUCAACCUCACCAGCAGCACCAACACCACCACAUAACACCAUCACAACCACAGCAACGCCAUUAAAAUGUCACC